Molecule: long non-coding RNA, 1001 nt
Filed under: Manacus vitellinus (golden-collared manakin)
Lineage: Eukaryota; Metazoa; Chordata; Aves; Passeriformes; Pipridae
Description: lncRNA (ENSMVIG00005018826.1)
Source: RNAcentral
CAUACGAGCCUAAAGUAAAACACUGAGGUUUCUGAACCGGAAUAAUGCCUGUUGCCAAGUGCUGGAGAGCCUCUGCAUGUCCAAGCGUUUAAUUAAUAAAGCAUACUAUCUGCUGUACAUAAUCCUAGUUUUGAAGACCUUAAAGCCUGAGAUACUUGGCUGCCUUUAAGAGCCUGAGGCAGCUUGGGUAGGAUAGAGCUUCCCAAUCUGCGUGGGUCCUUUCCCAGGCGUCGAAGAGGACGGUCCUUGUUCCCGGUGGGCACGUCAGCGUACCUGUUUCAGAAUGGUGUGGGACGUUCUCCAGGAGUACUGUCCUGUAGCCAUUAAGCAGCCCUGAAGGUAAUAAGAUAGGCUAAAAGCCUAACUAAAGCAUUUGGCAUGCCACAGGCUAAAGUUAAUCAUGUGUAUGCAUAAACAUUGCUAAUUUGUAUGCAGUUAUACUGUCAGAGGAUUAGUUAAUUAUCAGAAUUCGUGCAUGUGACAUUGCUUUUUGAAUGUAUUGUUCCAGAAUUUUUGCAUUUUUGAACCUAUGGCACCUGUUUUUAAAUGGAAAUAUAAAUUACAGCUGACAGCCUUCAUGAAGGAUUGUGGGAUUAGAAAGUUUUCAUAAAAUUCUAAUGCACUUGCUUUGGAAAUGCAAACUAAAUUAAAGCCAUCAAUGCUUAGAAUUUUGCUUUAUGGCAGUAAGAAACGUGAAGUAAACACUAAAAAAAAAAAGCUUUAGUGUAUCUCAUGGGCAUUUAAUGAAGACUUAACUGAUCCAAAAUGGACACGAUAAGAAAUAAAAUUUCUCAAUGCUUGUGUGUUUUAUACAUACAUUUACUACAUUUUUAUGAAAACAGAAAGAAGGUAAGCAGAUAUGCUUUCAAAAUACAACUGUACUAAAUAUCAUGUGAAAAUGCUAAUCUUUACCAAAAAUGUCCUCAUGGUAGGUUUAUUAAUUAGGCUUGGCUUUCACAAGGCAUCUGCAACACCAUAAAUAAAGAGGGACAUAUCAUCCA